Molecule: long non-coding RNA, 300 nt
Organism: Lacerta agilis (Sand lizard)
Lineage: Eukaryota; Metazoa; Chordata; Lepidosauria; Squamata; Lacertidae
Exons: 2
Source: RefSeq, a predicted model, not a curated record
AUGGCAUCACUGGUGGUGUGCCUGGGACAUGGCAGACAGUCCAAAAGAAAGGCUCUGAGGUGCUUGGGAUCAAGGAACUAGAAACAAAGACACACAGAAAGGAAGAACAAAAUGGCUGUUAGCAAGAAACCUGUGCAUCUGGAACAUGUAAGGGGAUAGGUGAUGUAAACAGCAGUGAUAAAUGUGCUCAGGCCGCAGCAGCAGGAUAUACACGACGCCUGGAUUCACCAUUUCUCUCCCCCAAUCCCCACUUCACUAAUACAUUGUUUAUUGACAAGGAACAUCAUAUUUCUUCCAAGA